This 404-nucleotide ribosomal RNA is filed under the name Actinomycetes bacterium. RNAcentral's name for it is "Actinobacteria bacterium partial 16S ribosomal RNA". It matches the Rfam family "Bacterial small subunit ribosomal RNA", at positions 355 to 776 of the family's 1533-position model. Lineage: Bacteria; Bacillati; Actinomycetota; Actinomycetes. The record is from RNAcentral.
UGGGGAAUAUUGGACAAUGGGCGCAAGCCUGAUCCAGCCAUGCCGCGUGAGUGAUGAAGGCCCUAGGGUUGUAAAGCUCUUUCACCGGUGAAGAUAAUGACGGUAACCGGAGAAGAAGCCCCGGCUAACUUCGUGCCAGCAGCCGCGGUAAUACGAAGGGGGCUAGCGUUGUUCGGAUUUACUGGGCGUAAAGCGCACGUAGGCGGACUUUUAAGUCAGGGGUGAAAUCCCGGGGCUCAACCCCGGAACUGCCUUUGAUACUGGAAGUCUUGAGUAUGGUAGAGGUGAGUGGAAUUCCGAGUGUAGAGGUGAAAUUCGUAGAUAUUCGGAGGAACACCGGUGGCGAAGGCGGCUCACUGGACUAUUACUGACGCUGAGGUGCGAAAGCGGGGGGAGCAAACAGG